RNAcentral lists this transfer-messenger RNA (391 nucleotides) under Teredinibacter turnerae T7901. It matches the Rfam family "transfer-messenger RNA". From Rfam's summary of the family: Bacterial tmRNA, also known as 10Sa RNA or SsrA, is named for its dual tRNA and mRNA-like properties. Its role is to liberate the mRNA from a stalled ribosome. To accomplish this part of the tmRNA is used as a reading frame that ends in a translation stop signal. The record is from Rfam by way of RNAcentral. RNAcentral also lists the same sequence under 1 other name. Lineage: Bacteria; Pseudomonadati; Pseudomonadota; Gammaproteobacteria; Cellvibrionales; Cellvibrionaceae.
GGGGGCGAUUAGGAUUCGACGCCGGUGUCAAAGCCCAAGGUGCAUGCCGUGAUGGCAGCCAAUCACGUAAAUCAAAAGCUGUAACUUUACAGUUGCCAAUGAUGACAACUACGGUGCCCAACUCGCUGCGUAAGUAGCCUGUGAAGCAUCUCUAGCGGUGCGCCGCUAGCGGUUUUUAGCAAGGUGCCAGUACCGCGCUAACGACUGUCAAAUAGAACUGGAUAGCUGUGUUGUUAAGAUCGCGGCAACAUUGCAAAACUAAUAGCGAACUCGCCCGCCACGUCCUGACCGUUGGGCUGAGGAUGGGUCAAAACAAUAAACGGAAACUAAGCAUGUAGAGCCGCGGAUGGAGAGCUGACGGACGGGGGUUCAAAUCCCCCCGCCUCCACCA